Molecule: ribosomal RNA, 276 nt
Filed under: uncultured soil bacterium
Lineage: Bacteria
Description: partial 16S ribosomal RNA
Rfam family: Bacterial small subunit ribosomal RNA
Source: RNAcentral
AGAUUGAACGCUGGCGGCAUGCCUUACACAUGCAAGUCGAACGGCAGCACGGGGGCAACCCUGGUGGCGAGUGGCGAACGGGUGAGUAAUGCAUCGGAACGUGCCCAGUAGUGGGGGAUAACUAGUCGAAAGAUUAGCUAAUACCGCAUACGACCUAUGGGUGAAAGCGGGGGAUUCGCAAGAACCUCGCGCUAUCGGAGCGGCCGAUGUCUGAUUAGCUAGUUGGCGGGUAAAAGCCCACCAAGGCUUCGAUCAGUAGCUGGUCUGAGAGGACGA